Molecule: ribosomal RNA, 652 nt
Filed under: uncultured bacterium
Lineage: Bacteria
Description: bacterial SSU rRNA
Rfam family: Bacterial small subunit ribosomal RNA
Source: RNAcentral
AACGAACGCUGGCGGCGUGGCUAUGGCAUGCAAGUCGUACGGACUUUGUUUGAGAGUAAUCGAUGACAAAGUUAGUGGCGGACGGGUGAGUAAUGCGUGGGUAACGUACCUCGUACACAGGGAUAGCGGCGCCCUUCGGGGCUUUAGCGAAAGUGCCGGUAAUACCUGAUAAUAUCCUGGAGUCUCAUGGUUUCGGGAUCAAAGGUGGGGACCCUUCGGGGCCUGCUGGUAUGGGAUCGGCCCACGUCCUAUCAGCUUGUUGGUGGGGUAACGGCCUACCAAGGCGAUGACGGGUAGCCGGCGUGAGAGCGCGACCGGCCACAUCGGGACUGAGACACUGCCCGGACACCUACGGGUGGCUGCAGCAACGAAUAUUCCGCAAUGGGCGAAAGCCUGACGGAGCGACGCCGCGUGGAGGAUGAAGUCCUUCGGGAUGUAAACUCCAAUAGUUUGCUAGGAAGCAAUCCGGCUGAAUAGGCCGGUGCGUUGACCCGCAUACGAAAGGGGUGGCUAACUCCGUGCCAGCAGCCGCGGUAACACGGAGACCCCUAGCGUUGUUCGGAUUUACUGGGCUUAAAGCGGGUGUAGGCGGAGCGGAAGGUACCUUGUGAAAGCCCCGGGCUCAACUCGGGAAUUGCUCGGUAUACUAUCG